UGCCUAAGGCUGUGAUGUAGACUGAUAAU
RNAcentral lists this non-coding RNA (29 nucleotides) under Rattus norvegicus (Norway rat). The record is from RNAcentral. Lineage: Eukaryota; Metazoa; Chordata; Mammalia; Rodentia; Muridae.